GUGUCGGUCUUGAACGAACGGAUCAAAAGAACUAGUUCUUUUUGAUGAACGAAAUGAACUAGUUCUCCCCCCCCUAAAUGACCCGUUCAAUUCAUUCAGUUCUUUUGAUUGGCUGAAGAGGGACUGCUUGCCUGUCUUAUCCUAUCGUCGCGCCUCGUUCUGUGUGUGGGUGGGGCUUAGAGAAGCAGCAGCAGUACUACUGAGCUGACUGAAAGACCGGAAUGACCGAGUUGACUGAAAGAACGGGUCAAAUGAACGAAAGACCUAGUUGACUGAAAGAACGGGUCAAAUGAACGAAAGACCGAGUUGAACGAAAGACCGAGUGAACGAAAGAUCCAGACGGAUGAACGAGUUGAACGAAAGACCGAGUGAACGAAAGACCGAGUUGAACGAAAGAUCCAGACGGAUGAACGAGUUGAACGAAAGACCGAGUGAACGAAAGACCGAGUUGAACGAAAGACCCAGACCGAUGAACGAGUUGAACGAAAGACCGAGUGAACGAAAGAUCCAGACGGAUGAACGAGUUGAACGAGAGACCGAGUGAACGAAAGAUCCAGACGGAUGAACGAGUUGAACGAGAGACCGAGUGAACGAAAGAUCCAGACGGUGAACGAGUUGACUGAAAGACCGAGUUGACUCGCCGCCGCACGAGGCCCGACAGCCGAGCCGGAGCGAGCGGGACAGUCACACACACACAAAGGCACACAGCUGCUGCAGCAGCCAGAGGCAGAGAGACAACUAUUAAUAUGCAUUUGCACUGUCUGUUGACAUUUUGUACUUUUUAUUAUUGUUUUUAAUGCACCUCAAAAUAAUAAAAAACCAUUAAAAACCUUAUAUAUAAGGUGUAUAUAUAUAUAUAUAUUUUGUUACUCCUACUAUAAUUUUAUAUUACAAGUAGUGCAGUGCGAUCGCAGCGUUGGACCGGGGUGGGAAGUGGAGAGUGCAGCGGUCACAGCGUCAGACCGCG
Molecule: non-coding RNA, 967 nt
Organism: Xyrichtys novacula (pearly razorfish)
Lineage: Eukaryota; Metazoa; Chordata; Actinopteri; Labriformes; Labridae
Source: the annotation of a GenBank genome assembly